This is a long non-coding RNA of Chinchilla lanigera (long-tailed chinchilla), 1074 nucleotides long. RefSeq lists it as uncharacterized. NCBI's taxonomy places the organism in Eukaryota, Metazoa, Chordata, Mammalia, Rodentia, Chinchillidae. The transcript is spliced from 5 exons. The record is from RefSeq and is a predicted model, not a curated record.
CGUCUGGUUCGGGGAGACCCGCAGGAGGUCCAGUCGGACAGGUCUUUGGCCGGGUGAAGGCUGGACGCGGCUAGGAGAAAAACAGCCUAGACUGUUGGGGGGAAAUAUACUCCACGUUACACAGCUCGCACCCGUGCGGUGACCAGGUCCUCUCUCCAGAGGAGCUGCCUGUGUGCCCCUUCAAGCCUCAGUUUCCACAUCUGUGAAGCGGGGCCAGUGGAAGCCAACACAUCGCGCUGCUGUGCGAACCGAAUCAGAACAUCUGUGGGAGGCAUCUGCAUGCCUAGCACUUCAGGGUUGAGUAAACGAGAGCUGUUAAAGUCUGCCAAUAUUAUCGCAAGGGCAGAAUGCUAAAUUGAGCUCUAGUUGGACAGCGGAGGUUGAGUAUGGACUUUCAAAUCCUGAAUCUCUACCUGUUAGGAAGUUUCUAAAAAAAAAAAAAGUGGUUAAUGACCGGUGAGGAGGUAGUGGAAGAUCCUAGAUUAUUCUACAUCCCCUGAAGGCCGUCAUGGACAGUUUCGAGUUGGUACGCCUUCUGCACAGCAUUUACUCCCAGGCACUGAGAGAAGGUGCCAGCGUGUGCCCUGCUUAACACACAGCAUCAGGCCAUUCUGGGGGUUUCACUAUGUGUUUCAGGCUAGCCUUGAACUUUUAUGUAACUUAUGGUGGCCUCUAACUCUUGGCAAUCUUCCUGCUUCGGCCUCCCCAGUGCUGGGAUUACAGGCAUGUGCCACCGAGCCGGGCUUUCCAGGCUCCCACCUCUAGCCCCAGCUGGCAGAACUGUUCUGAAAGAACACCAGAGUGACAUCAUGCCUUUGGAGUGAGUCACAGCCCUUCCAUGCACAUUCAGCUACAGUAGAGGCACUGUGAUGCAUUACGCCAGUUGGUCAGAAUGUGACACCUGAGUCCCUGGUGUGUUUAUGCACACAGAGAUAUCAAAUGUGUGAUUUGAGAUACACUGGAAAAUGUCUGUUCCCAAAAUGUGCUACCUCCUAAACUGCAUGACAAUAAUGGGGUUUUACUGUUUUCUGAGUCAAUAGCUAUUCUAACUAUUAAAGACUCCUACUGCAACAA